Long non-coding RNA from Macaca mulatta (Rhesus monkey), 721 nucleotides. RefSeq lists it as uncharacterized. Lineage: Eukaryota; Metazoa; Chordata; Mammalia; Primates; Cercopithecidae. The record is from RefSeq and is a predicted model, not a curated record.
GCAGAACCCCAGCAUCGCUGGCCUUUGGACUCUAGGACUUACACCAGCAACCCCCACUCCUACCCCAGGUUUUCAGGUCCUGGAACUUGGACUGAGCAACACUACAGGCAUUCCAGAGUCCCCAGCACGUAGAUAGCUGUCACGGGACUUCUCAGCCUCAAUAAUCAGGUUCUCAGGCCCUGGAACUUGGACCGAACAACACUACUGGCAUUCCAGGGUCCCCCAUAUGUGGAUGGCUGUCACAGGACUUCUCAGAUUCCAUAAUCAGGCCAUUCCAAAGUUAACCUGAAAAACUACGAAUAGUUCAGGCCAUGAUGGGAAUUGGGAGUUGGACGUGCCUCAUUAUACCCGUCUCCCUGUUGGAACUCAGGCCCAGCUGACCAGCAUUAACAGAGACCUUAAGACUGACAGAAGAGACUCUUUAAGUCUGAUAAGAAGCAUUUACAGCCUGGUCUCUGCAGCCUGCUACCUGAAGACUUCAUCUGCAUGAUAAAACCUCCGUCUCUACAACUUCUUCUUGUAAUCCAGACAUUCCUUUGUAUUGAUUCCUGUUCUUUAGAUAAUAACUCAGUCAACCGUCAAUCAGAAAAUCUUUGAAUCUCCCCAUGACCUAGACGUCCCUACUUCCAGGUGUCCUGCAUUUUCAGACUGAACCAAUGUAUACCUUAAUGUAUUGAUUGAUGUUUUAUGUCUCCCUAAAUGUAUAAAACCAAGCUGUAGC